UACAGAGGGCCCAAGCGUUGUUCGGAUUCACUGGGCGUAAAGGGUGCGUAGGCGGUCGGGUAAGUCUGAUGUGAAAUCUCACAGCUUAACUGUGAAACUGCAUUGGAUACUAUUCGGCUUGAGAGUUGGAGGGGGGACUGGAAUUCUUGGUGUAGCAGUGAAAUGCGUAGAUAUCAAGAGGAACACCAGUGGCGAAGGCGAGUCCCUGGACAACUUCUGACGCUGAGGCACGAAAGCUAGGGGAGCAAACAGG
This 253-nucleotide ribosomal RNA is filed under the name uncultured bacterium. Its description in RNAcentral is "partial 16S ribosomal RNA". It matches the Rfam family "Bacterial small subunit ribosomal RNA", at positions 524 to 776 of the family's 1533-position model. The record is from RNAcentral.